AAAGCGGAGGAAAAGAAACCAACAGGGAUUGCCCCAGUAGCGGCGAGUGAAGCGGCAAAAGCUCAGAUUUGGAAUCGCUUCGGCGAGUUGUGAAUUGCAGGUUGGCGCCUCUGCGGCGGCGGCGGUCCAAGUCCCUUGGAACAGGGCGCCAUUGAGGGUGAGAGCCCCGUGGGACCGUUUGCCUACGCUCUGAGGCCCUUCUGACGAGUCGAGUUGUUUGGGAAUGCAGCUCUAAGCGGGUGGUAAAUUCCAUCUAAGGCUAAAUACUGGCGAGAGACCGAUAGCGAACAAGUACUGUGAAGGAAAGAUGAAAAGCACUUUGAAAAGAGAGUGAAACAGCACGUGAAAUUGUUGAAAGGGAAGGGUAUUGCGCCCGACAUGGAGCGUGCGCACCGCUGCCCCUCGUGGGCGGCGCUCUGGGCGUGCUCUGGGCCAGCAUCGGUUUUUGCCGCGGGAGAAGGGCGGCGGGCAUGUAGCUCUUCGGAGUGUUAUAGCCUGCCGCCGGCGCCGCGAGCGGGGACCGAGGACUGCGACUUUUGUCUCGGAUGCUGGCACAACGGCGCAACACCGCCCGUCUUAAAA
Molecule: ribosomal RNA, 582 nt
Filed under: Pichia fermentans
Lineage: Eukaryota; Fungi; Ascomycota; Pichiomycetes; Pichiales; Pichiaceae
Description: eukaryotic LSU rRNA
Rfam family: Eukaryotic large subunit ribosomal RNA
Source: RNAcentral